CUGUAAGAAUAAUGGCUCCUUAAAACGGAGUGAGUCAAAGAGUAAGACACUUUAGAGGAAAUGGUUAAUAUUAAUGAGAGAGUGCAGUGUAGUCUGACAAUAGACCAGCAUCAGCACUUCGGGAGGAAUGCUUCUAGCUUAAAGUGAUGCUUUGAUUCUCUUCAGCAAAGCCUGGGCCGAGAAAAAAUAAAAAGUCCCUGUAGCAAUUCGGUGGGUCUAAGCACAUGCAUUGGGAAGAGAGUCAAAAAGGAAGAUUUUCACAACGAAUUAUCAUUCAAGUCCUCUCAGACCCGUAGUUUCGUAUAUGGCUACAGGAGGUGGCCCUAGAUUUCUUAUAAACCCUUCCAAAAGGGACUUCCAGUCUAGUUGGAGACAAAGGAAAAUAAAACUCAAAGAAAACAACAGCUCAUUGUAAGCGACAGAACAGAAUUAAGUUCUAAACUGCACGGCGCAGACUCAGCAUUACAGGAGUUGUCAGAGAAUCUCUGUGAGGAUGUGAAACACGCCACACAAAUUAAAAAGUGGAAGUGCAUCAGUGGUGGCGUAGGUGAAUUUUGAGAUGGAGCUUGAAAUGUAUUUCUUCUGAAAACUUGCUGGUCAAUUGUUAAAACCAAGCACUGUUUGUGGGGCCUCGAGCUAGAUCACAAAUGCUCCUCCCCUCCCGUCCCCUACCCUGGCCAAAGGCCUGUCCCCAUCCUGGUCAGGGGAAGCCUCACACACAUGAAUGGGGAGCCCCAGCGUGCAGUGCAGACUCACAGUCCACAACCGUAUCCCACAAGAGCCACUCUUGGCACCCCUGGGGCCUCCCAGUGAGCACCCCAGAAGCCUCGUCAGCCCCAGGGAGGAAGAUGAACGAGGUGCUAAGGAAGAUGCAUGUGUUGGCCCCGGAAGCAGGUGCAACCCCUCUAGGCAGGGAAUUCCUGGUCCCUGGAACCUGAGAUGUUCCAGAAGGAGGGAUCGUGUAGUAUGAGCUCCAAGUGGGCAUUCCACUGACUCCUCAGAAUCUUCUUGAAGGGAGGGAAGCACUGGUAUUGGACCAAAGCAGGGUCUCUAACAGGUAGGACACACAGCAGAGGCCCUGGGUGCCCAGGUCUCAGGAGGUAGCUUUAAA
Canis lupus familiaris (dog) is the source of this 1111-nucleotide long non-coding RNA. RefSeq lists it as uncharacterized. The transcript is spliced from 3 exons. The record is from RefSeq and is a predicted model, not a curated record. NCBI's taxonomy places the organism in Eukaryota, Metazoa, Chordata, Mammalia, Carnivora, Canidae.